Molecule: non-coding RNA, 27 nt
Filed under: Rattus norvegicus (Norway rat)
Lineage: Eukaryota; Metazoa; Chordata; Mammalia; Rodentia; Muridae
Source: RNAcentral
CCCAGUCCUUAGCAUUCUCUAGAGAAA